UUGCUCUCGGGUGACGAGUGGCGGACGGGUGAGUAAUGUCUGGGAAACUGCCUGAUGGAGGGGGAUAACUACUGGAAACGGUAGCUAAUACCGCAUAACGUCGCAAGACCAAAGAGGGGGACCUUCGGGCCUCUUGCCAUCAGAUGUGCCCAGAUGGGAUUAGCUAGUAGGUGGGGUAAUGGCUCACCUAGGCGACGAUCCCUAGCUGGUCUGAGAGGAUGACCAGCCACACUGGAACUGAGACACGGUCCAGACUCCUACGGGAGGCAGCAGUGGGGAAUAUUGCACAAUGGGCGCAAGCCUGAUGCAGCCAUGCCGCGUGUAUGAAGAAGGCCUUCGGGUUGUAAAGUACUUUCAGCGGGGAGGAAGGUGUUGUGGUUAAUAACCGCAGCAAUUGACGUUACCCGCAGAAGAAGCACCGGCUAACUCCGUG
Molecule: ribosomal RNA, 433 nt
Filed under: Leclercia adecarboxylata
Lineage: Bacteria; Pseudomonadati; Pseudomonadota; Gammaproteobacteria; Enterobacterales; Enterobacteriaceae
Description: bacterial SSU rRNA
Rfam family: Bacterial small subunit ribosomal RNA
Source: RNAcentral